Molecule: ribosomal RNA, 253 nt
Filed under: uncultured bacterium
Lineage: Bacteria
Description: partial 16S ribosomal RNA
Rfam family: Bacterial small subunit ribosomal RNA
Source: RNAcentral
UACGAAGGGGGCUAGCGUUGUUCGGAAUUACUGGGCGUAAAGCGCACGUAGGCGGACUAUUAAGUCAGGGGUGAAAUCCCGGGGCUCAACCCCGGAACUGCCUUUGAUACUGGUAGUCUCGAGUCCGGAAGAGGUGAGUGGAAUUCCGAGUGUAGAGGUGAAAUUCGUAGAUAUUCGGAGGAACACCAGUGGCGAAGGCGGCUCACUGGUCCGGUACUGACACUGAGGUGCGAAAGCGUGGGGAGCAAACAGG